UAAUAAUUAUGAAAGCAAAAAAUUAUGGCGGUAUUUUAAGCUUUUCAGAGGAAUUUGCUCUUUAAUGGAUAAAACACCAAAAUCUUACUUAGAUUUGUGAUUUCAAUUUGUAUACCACUAUUAAAACAAUUUAUAACUUUAAUUGUUUAAAUUUACAAAACUAAAAUAUAUUAAGUCAAGGUGCAGUAAAAAUUUAAGGAUGAAGUGAAUUACAUUACUUUUUAGUGAGAUAAGUUUAUAACAAUAUUUAGGAUUUGAAAGUAAAUUUAAAAUAGGAUGUUAAUUUGAAUUAAUCUCUAAAAUAUGUAC
RNAcentral lists this ribosomal RNA (309 nucleotides) under Rhipicephalus sanguineus (brown dog tick). Its description in RNAcentral is "partial small subunit ribosomal RNA". The record is from RNAcentral. Lineage: Eukaryota; Metazoa; Arthropoda; Arachnida; Ixodida; Ixodidae.